Long non-coding RNA from Mytilus californianus (California mussel), 1854 nucleotides. RefSeq lists it as uncharacterized. The record is from RefSeq and is a predicted model, not a curated record. NCBI's taxonomy places the organism in Eukaryota, Metazoa, Mollusca, Bivalvia, Mytilida, Mytilidae. The transcript has 3 exons.
CCCCCCCCCCAAUAAUUGGCUACCAAUAAUUUCCAAAGGACUGACGCAAGUUUUGUAUUUUGCAAUAAAAAUAUAGUGAGAACCAGCAGAUUUUCUUUAAGGACCACCAGGGAAAAAAGAUUUCUAGAACUCUUUGGUCCAGUUGUCAAUGUCUAAAAUUAAACCAUGACAGCCAUGAAAUCAGAUUCUGUCAAUUCUUAAUGGACAGGUUAGUAUUUGAAACGGAUCAAUUAGAAAUGUUCAAAAUAAAGCCUGCAGUUCUUAUACAUGUAGGUCUGUCUUUAAAAGACAGGACUUCUUAUUGUCUGUCCAUCCCUCUGUCGUCAACACUUAAGACAUGAAUAACUCAAAAUCCCUUGCACCAAUUUUCAUGAAACUUUGGUGAAUUAUUUAUACUUAUUGACGUAAGUUCCCUUUCCAUUUUAAAACAUUUUGGAUUUCACGUUUUGGAGUAUUGUGACUUUAUUUAUAAAAAAGGGGGAUUUUCCAGUUUUAGGACAAUAAGUCAAAAUGCUUUCACCAAUUUUCAUGAAACUUUGGUGAUAUGUUUAUUUCUUUUAACUUAAGCUCCCUUUCGAUUUUUAUCUAUUUUUGACUUUUAUGUUUUCGAGUUAUGGGACUUUAUUCAUGAAAAUUAUUUAUGUUUCAUGUCAAUGGGUAUCAUUGUGUGCAUGUUUUUUUUUAGGAGGGGGGCGUGUAUUUGAGCAGUGCUCAUAGUAUUUAUUUCUAAUCGAUCAUAUAUAUUGAUUUAUUUUGAUUUGAUUUUAACGUUACUUUUAAGCACCGCUUUUGGGCUAUUUCAUGGCGGCCAGUUUUUAUUGGUGAGGAAACCAGAGUGCCCUUGGGAAAACCACCGACCUUCGAUAGGAAUAUAAACUGAUUUAAAGCAUAAAGACUAGCUAAAAGGAAGACUGGCACAUCAUGCACAUCAUGCUCAUGGUGCAGCUCUUUAUUCAUGUUAUUUUGAAUAUGAUUAAGCAAAUGUUCUAUGAAGGAAAUUCAGAUAUCAAAUUAGGGUUGCUGUAAUUUCUGUAUUUGAUAUAUUAUAUUUGUUUAUGUAUCUGUGUGAGAUUCAUUGUGAUUAAUCUGCUCUUUACGUAAAAAAAAGUAUCUAUAUGUAUUUAAUAAUUACUUUCUCUUAUUUUUAGUUGACCUGUUAAAUACAAGGUACAGUCAGUGCCAGUUCCACUUUGAUGAAAUAUUAAAAGCAACGGUUGGAAUUAGGAAAGCUUUAUUAUUUAAACAGGAAACAGAUAUGAAUGAAUGAAGAUUUGUAUCCCUCUUCGAUUCAUCUGAUAACCUGAUGAUUGAGCUGUCUUGCAAAAACAGUACCUAAGGAGUCAGAUGGGCUAGUGCAUUCAUUUGCAUAAUCUGGACUCAGUAACUGUUCAAGGCUUUACUCGAUACCUGAUUGUACAUUUACAGUUACUAUUUACAAUGAUUGAUGUGUAACCUAAAUUUCAUAUUGUUACACUUCUUCGUCACUGGUCAGAUAGAAUUAGACACAUCUCUGGAGAAGAAAAAAAUCUUUGUAACAUUCAAGACAGAAUUAAUGAAAAGCAUUAAGAACUAAUUCAACUAUAUGCUUGUAGUACAGAUGUAAACUUUUAUGAAAUGUUUCAAACUGAAGCAACACUUUAAAGCUUUUCGAAAAUAUUUUAAAUUAGGAGACGUAUUAGCUACAAUUCAAUUAUAAGAUGACACUGGGCAUUCUUAGUUGUUUAUUACUCAAUGAAUAGGUAGUUUAUAGCACAAGUUAUUGUGACCCAAUUUAUCUGUUAUAAUGAUAUAUACUUCUUUUUUUUUUAAAUUGCAUUAAUAUUUGUUUAUGAUCAAUAAUUCAGAAAAACAAUG